This 259-nucleotide ribosomal RNA is filed under the name uncultured bacterium. RNAcentral's name for it is "partial 16S ribosomal RNA". It matches the Rfam family "Bacterial small subunit ribosomal RNA", at positions 1235 to 1500 of the family's 1533-position model. The record is from RNAcentral.
AGGUACAGCGGGAAGGCCAUAUGGCGACAUAGAGCGGAACCCGAAAACCUGUNUCAGUUCGGAUUGGAGUCUGCAACCCGACUCCAUGAAGCUGGAUUCGCUAGUAAUCGCGCAUCAGCCACGGCGCGGUGAAUACGUUCCCGGGCCCUUGUACACACCGCCCGUCAAGCCAUGGAAGCCGGGAGUGCCUGAAGUGCGUGAGCGCAAGCAGCGCCCUAAGGUAAAACCGGUGACUGGGGCUAAGUCGUAACAAGGUACC